RNAcentral lists this long non-coding RNA (1626 nucleotides) under Coturnix japonica (Japanese quail). RNAcentral describes it as "lncRNA (ENSCJPG00005013405.1)". Lineage: Eukaryota; Metazoa; Chordata; Aves; Galliformes; Phasianidae. The record is from RNAcentral.
GGACCACACCAUGAAGUAAAAAUAAAUAAAUAUACACAGGUGGUAGCAGCAAGGAAAAAAGCUGAAGGAGAAAUCGGUGCAUUUCUCACUUAUUAUGACAUUUCCUUGAUUUUAAGCGUAAUUAAUUCUGUUUCAGCUGCACGGUUUCUGCACACUUCCUUUGAAACAUCUGUAAUUCUUUCUGGCAUUGAUCUGAAGCAAUACAGUGCGGCUUCAUCUGAGAAGAAUAUUAUAAGCUUUCCUCCUCUCAUUCAUCAACACCCCAGGCUCUUCAAGAGGUUUGCUCUGCUAUACAAUUGAAGGACUGAAUUAAGCAAAAAUAAGGUAACUGGCUGUGGUCAGCACGUGUUUGUGGACACAGAGCACACAUUCAUUACAGGAUAAGCCAUAAAGCAGAACCUCAAGAUGCAUGGUCCUAGUUAAAGGCAACGUGUAUUUGUUUUGUAAGACAUUAUCUAUGUAUGGCUGAUUAGGUACCCUGCGUAAAACUAAGAUAUUACUAAGUUCACUUUUAAAAAGUGCAAUCGGUAGAUGAAAUGCACCAUCUUAUGAAGGUUUUACAUUUACAUAAGAAAUGUAUUGAUUUUCCUUAUUUCAAACUUCCUUCCCCUAAUAAACUGGAAGGAAGAAACAGCAUUUGAAAUGUCUUGGUAAACACAAAGGUUUUAAGAAUAUUUGGAUGUUUUAGCAGUGCACAGUCCCAGAUUCUGAAAAAUUCACCCAAUUCAAGAGUCAACUGUCUGGAAAAAUGAAGGCUUCAACAUACUAAGAAAUCAGGAUACUCUGGAGAAUAGACACAGCAUUGACUGAAUCAUAUCUAAGGCUUUAGAAAUGCUUGCAGUGUACAGGAAGGACUCGUGCAGGAUUUGUGUUCCAGAAAAGCAGUCUAUCUGCCAGUGGCUACCAUUGCUCCAUGCAAUGGUGCUUCCAAGCAUUCUCUAGCAAGGCUGCACAUGCAGCCUGCAGCAGACCUGCAGCAGCGCACACAGUUUCUAAUCUCCACAAGUUUACAAGCAGCUUUUUCCCCAGAACGUUGCAGGAUUUGGGCAAUGCUGACAGUCUGUUACUAUGAAAUCUCUUAUGUUGACAGUUGCAACACUGAUUACAGAUUUAAGCAGUUGGAUACCAAGGAACUUCCAAGUCACAGCACAUCUCUGCACAUCAUAGCCAGAGUAGCAGUCCAACACAAAUGGGACCUCACUUUCCCCAAUAACAGGGUAAGUAAUCAUGACAGAGGGUCACACUCUCCUUCACAACUUGUUGGCAUUGAUUCCAUACUCUUCUGUUUGUCUCAUGUGCUAGUGUACACAGUCCACUUUUAUUUAAUUGCCUGUUUGUCCUAGGAUCUCCUUUUUUAUCGCAUUUCCUGAAACAUCUCUGUGCCUUGUGCCUCAGUAGUCACAACACUGUCUUCAGCUCCCCACAGUGACCUUGGCAUGUCCUUACUGUUGCUGCGGUGGCUGCACAAGUGAUGGAUAUUAACAGGUCAGACUGUGUGAAGGAUUUGGGAGACAGAGUCUAUUCUUAUCUCUGUCACUUGGCUUAGUGGGUCACCUUGGAGGAGUACCUUCCCUGUUAAGUCUCCUCGUAUGUAGGAAGAGAUAUUUAAUAUUUCUGGAAGAAAAG